GAAAUGCGAUAAGUAAUGUGAAUUGCAGAAUUCAGUGAAUCAUCGAAUCUUUGAACGCACAUUGCGCCCGCCAGUAUUCUGGCGGGCAUGCCUGUUCGAGCGUCAUUACAACCCUCAGGCCCCCGGGCCUGGCGUUGGGGAUCGGCGGAAGCCCCCUGCGGGCACAACGCCGUCCCCCAAAUACAGUGGCGGGCCCGCCGCAGCUUCCAUUGCGUAGUAGCUAACACCUCGCAACUGGAGAGCGGCGCGGCCACGCCGUAAAACACCCAACUUCUGAAUGUUGACCUCGAAUCAGGUAGGAAUACCCGCUGAACUUAAGC
RNAcentral lists this unclassified non-coding RNA (320 nucleotides) under plant metagenome. RNAcentral describes it as "partial contains 5.8S ribosomal RNA, internal transcribed spacer 2, and large subunit ribosomal RNA". The stretch from base 1 to 105 matches the Rfam family "5.8S ribosomal RNA", at positions 50 to 154 of the family's 154-position model. The record is from RNAcentral.